This 30-nucleotide non-coding RNA is filed under the name Rattus norvegicus (Norway rat). Lineage: Eukaryota; Metazoa; Chordata; Mammalia; Rodentia; Muridae. The record is from RNAcentral.
UGCGCGAGGGGGGUAUAACACAAGGAAAGC